This 314-nucleotide unclassified non-coding RNA is filed under the name Tomentella sp. Its description in RNAcentral is "partial contains 5.8S ribosomal RNA, internal transcribed spacer 2, and large subunit ribosomal RNA". RNAcentral also lists the same sequence under 1 other name. Lineage: Eukaryota; Fungi; Basidiomycota; Agaricomycetes; Thelephorales; Thelephoraceae. The record is from RNAcentral.
AACGCACCUUGCGCCCUUUGGCUAUUCCGAAGGGCAUGCCUGUUUGAGUAUCGUGAACACCUCAACUCUCAUGGUUUGCCAUGAUGAGCUUGGACUUUGGGGGUCUUGCUGGCCUACGGUCGGCUCCUCUCAAAUGGAUCAGCUUGCCAGUGUCUGGUGGCAUCACAGGUGUGAUAACUAUCUACGCUUGUGGUUUUCCAUCAGGUAACCUUCAGUGAUGGAGGUUCGCUGGAGCUCAUAAAUGUCUCUCCUCAGUGAGGACAGCUUUUUGAACGUUUGAUCUCAAAUCAGGUAGGACUACCCGCUGAACUUAA